AUUGAACGCUGGCGGUAGGCCUAACACAUGCAAGUCGAGCGGAUGAAGGGAGCUUGCUCCUGGAUUCAGCGGCGGACGGGUGAGUAAUGCCUAGGAAUCUGCCUGGUAGUGGGGGAUAACGUCCGGAAACGGGCGCUAAUACCGCAUACGUCCUGAGGGAGAAAGUGGGGGAUCUUCGGACCUCACGCUAUCAGAUGAGCCUAGGUCGGAUUAGCUAGUUGGUGGGGUAAAGGCCUACCAAAGCGACGAUCCGUAACUGGUCUGAGAGGAUGAUCAGUCACACUGGAACUGAGACACGGUCCAGACUCCUACGGGAGGCAGCAGUGGGGAAUAUUGGACAAUGGGCGAAAGCCUGAUCCAGCCAUGCCGCGUGUGUGAAGAAGGUCUUCGGAUUGUAAAGCACUUUAAGUUGGGAGGAAGGGCAGUAAGUUAAUACCUUGCUGUUUUGACGUUACCAACAGAAUAAGCACCGGCUAACUUCGUG
Molecule: ribosomal RNA, 484 nt
Filed under: uncultured bacterium
Lineage: Bacteria
Description: partial 16S ribosomal RNA
Rfam family: Bacterial small subunit ribosomal RNA
Source: RNAcentral